This 2475-nucleotide ribosomal RNA is filed under the name Triticum aestivum (bread wheat). RNAcentral's name for it is "partial small subunit ribosomal RNA". Lineage: Eukaryota; Viridiplantae; Streptophyta; Magnoliopsida; Poales; Poaceae. The record is from RNAcentral.
AUGAAUGUGCACCAUAUUCCCAUCUUCUUCCUCCUACUCUUGAGUUCGUUCUGCAAAUCCGAUGAUCAGCUCACACGGGCAAAACCGCUCACCCACGGCGACACACUCAUCUCCAAGAGCGGGAACUUUGCUCUCGGCUUCUUCUCCACAACCAGCUCCAACAAGAGUUUUUACCUUGGCAUAUGGUACCACAGCAUCCCUGGCCCACGCACCGUUGUGUGGGUCGCCAAUCGAGACAACGCAAUCACCACCCCUUCAUCUACGAUGCUCUCCAUCACCACCAGUUCUGAUCUGGUGUUGUCUGACUCCAAAGGCCACGCUAUUUGGAGGGCUACAAGCAGUAUCACCACAGGAGGGGCGGAAGCUUACGCUUUGCUACUCAACUCAGGGAAUUUCGUCCUCCGAUUGCCAAACUCCACGGACGUGUGGCAAAGCUUUGAUCACCCGACGGACACACUACUUCCAACGAUGAAACUUUUAUUGAGCUACAAGGCCCAUGCCGUCGAGCGGCUCAUUGCUUGGAAGGGUCCGGAUGACCCGUCCUCUGGGGAUUUUCUCAUGCGGUGGCGACCCUCGCCGACCCUUCAGAGGCUAAUAUGGCAUGGGACCACGCCAUAUUCUCGCAGCAAUUUGGUUAAUGGCGUGUCGGUGUCCGGCGGCACAUACCUCAGCAACGCCAGCUCCAUUGUGUAUGAAACAAACAUCAAGCUGGGCGAUGAGUUCUACUAUAUGUUCACUGUCUCUGAUGGUUUACCGUUCACGCGUUUGACGCUUGACUACACAGGCGCGCUGAAGUCUCUAAAUUGGAACAGACACUCCUCAUCAUGGACAGUCCUGUUUGAGAGGCCCAAAGCUGCUUGCGACGUCUAUGCCUCAUGUGGCCCAUUCAGCUAUUGCGACCUCACUAGUACUGUCCCGGCAUGCAAAUGCUUCGAUGGGUUUGAGCCUGACAGUCUUAACUUUUCAAGCGGUUGUCGGCGAACAGAGGACCUGAAUUGUGGCAAGCAAAGUCAGUUCAUAACUUUGUCUGGGAUGAAGGUCCCUGACAAGUUCUUACAUUUAAAGAACAGAAGCUUCGAUGAGUGUGCCGCCGAGUGCAGCAACAACUGCUCAUGUACGGCGUAUGCUUACGCCAAUUUGAGCAGUGGUGGUGCUAACGAUGACCCGACAAGGUGCUUGGUUUGGACAAGGGAGCUUAUCGACACAGGAAAGUCGACUAACUCUGGCGAGAACCUGUACCUUCGCCUUGCUGAGUCUCCUGUUGACAACAGCAGUUCACUAAAGGUUUUACUCCCGAUUAUAGCAUUACUGUUGUUGCUGACAUGCAUUGUCCUCAUCUGGACUUACAAAUUCAGAGGAAAAUGGCGAAGGAAGGAAAACCAGAAGAAACUAAUGCGAGAAUACUUUAGCACAUCCGAUGAACUCGAAGGCAAAAGUACAGAAUUUCCAUUUAUUAGCUACAAAGAGAUCCUUUCAGCAACAAAUUUCUUCGCUGAUUCAAACUUGCUUGGACGGGGAGAUUUUGGCAAAGUUUACAAGGUAAUAUAAAGUGCUAUUUACAGUAGUUUUGGGGGCACAAUGGAAGGUGGAUAUGAGGUUGCUGUGAAAAGGCUUAGUCAGGGUUCUGGUCAAGGUAUUGUGGAGUUCAAAAAUGAAGUAGUUCUAAUUGCGAAACUGCAGCACAAAAACCUAGUCAGCCUUCAUGGGUGUUGCAUUCAGGAAGAUGAGAAGUUACUGAUCUAUGAAUACUUACCUAACAAAAGUUUGGAUGCCUUCCUUUUUGAUGUUGCACAAAAACACAUGCUUGACUGGUCGACACGGUUCAAAAUAGUUAAAGGAAUAGCAAGAGGUCUUCUUUAUCUCCAUCAAAAUUCAAGAUUAACAAUAAUUCACAGAGAUCUCAAAGCAAGCAACAUCUUGUUGGACGCAGAAAUGACUCCCAAAAUUUCAGAUUUUGGUAUGGCACGAAUAUUUGGUGCAAACCAGAAUCAUGCAAACACUACUAGGGUUGUCGGGACAUAUGGUUACAUGUCACCUGAAUAUGCGAUGGGAGGUGCAUUUUCUGUUAAAACAGACACAUAUAGCUUUGGUGUUCUUCUCUUGGAGAUUGUUAGUGGCCUGAAGAUCAGUUCACACUUGUUAACUUCAUCGUCACUUCAUUUUCUUGGUCAGGCGUGGAGACUAUGGGAAGUUGGAGAAGCAACUGAACUAGUGGACUCUUCUAUUGUCGUUAAUUGCUCACUUCAUGAAGUUCUACGGUGUGUUCAUAUCGGACUCUUGUGUGUUCAAGACCAUCCCAACGAUAGGCCACUAAUGUCAUCGGUUAUGCUUAUGCUGGAGAAUGAAAACACGCUUCUUCCAACUCCAAAGCAACCCGCCUAUUUUGCUCUAAGUAAUCGUGAAGGUCAAGAAGCAACAGAUAACAUGGAGAACUCUAUAAAUGCAAUUAGCAUCACAGCCUUGGAGGGUCGUUAA